UCUGGCUCAGGACGAACGCUGGCGGCGUGCCUAAUACAUGCAAGUCGAGCGCUGGAAGCUAAUUUCAUCCCUUCGGGAUGAAAUUAGUGGAAAGAGCGGCGGACGGGUGAGUAACACGUGGGCAACCUACCUAUAAGACUGGGAUAACUCGCGGAAACGUGAGCUAAUACCGGAUAAUACUUUUUAUUGCAUAAUAAGAAGUUUGAAAGGCGGCGUAAGCUGUCACUUAUAGAUGGGCCCGCGGCGCAUUAGCUAGUUGGUGAGGUAAAGGCUCACCAAGGCAACGAUGCGUAGCCGACCUGAGAGGGUGAUCGGCCACACUGGGACUGAGACACGGCCCAGACUCCUACGGGAGGCAGCAGUAGGGAAUCUUCCGCAAUGGACGAAAGUCUGACGGAGCAACGCCGCGUGAGUGAAGAAGGUUUUCGGAUCGUAAAACUCUGUUGUUAGGGAAGAACAAGUCAGGUAGUAACUGACCUGACCUUGACGGUACCUAACCAGAAAGCCACGGCUAACUACGUGCCAGCAGCCGCGGUAAUACGUAGGUGGCAAGCGUUGUCCGGAUUUAUUGGGCGUAAAGCGCUCGCAGGCGGUCUUUUAAGUCUGAUGUGAAAGCCCACGGCUUAACCGUGGAGGGUCAUUGGAAACUGGAGGACUUGAGUGCAGAAGAGGAGAGUGGAAUUCCAUGUGUAGCGGUGAAAUGCGUAGAGAUAUGGAGGAACACCAGUGGCGAAGGCGACUCUCUGGUCUGUAACUGACGCUGAGGAGCGAAAGCGUGGGUAGCGAACAGGAUUAGAUACCCUGGUAGUCCACGCCGUAAACGAUGAGUGCUAGGUGUUAGGGGGUUUCCGCCCCUUAGUGCUGAAGUUAACGCAUUAAGCACUCCGCCUGGGGAGUACGGCCGCAAGGCUGAAACUCAAAAGAAUUGACGGGGACCCGCACAAGCGGUGGAGCAUGUGGUUUAAUUCCAAGCAACGCGAAGAACCUUACCAGGUCUUGACAUCCUUUCG
RNAcentral lists this ribosomal RNA (1010 nucleotides) under Oceanobacillus sp. 5LF 15T. RNAcentral's name for it is "bacterial SSU rRNA". It matches the Rfam family "Bacterial small subunit ribosomal RNA", at positions 18 to 994 of the family's 1533-position model. The record is from RNAcentral. Lineage: Bacteria; Bacillati; Bacillota; Bacilli; Caryophanales; Bacillaceae.